Molecule: long non-coding RNA, 491 nt
Organism: Rana temporaria (common frog)
Lineage: Eukaryota; Metazoa; Chordata; Amphibia; Anura; Ranidae
Exons: 2
Source: RefSeq, a predicted model, not a curated record
UUACAGGAGGCUGAUUCCCGUCUCAUUCAGGUAUUUAUAUAUUAGCUGCAUUUUAACUUUAUAUCUGCCUGGAGAUCAGCUUUACAUUUUUGUUGCUAUUGUGCAGGGGGGGGAGGUGAUUCAGGACAGGACAGCCCAGCACGGCUCCAAGGCUGCUGAUAACACAAACAGGUUCCCCCGGUGUGUGUGGUUCAUGUUGUGUCGUCAUUUCCCGGUGUCGGCACUCGGCGCGGUGUCAGAACUUUCCCUUUACGCACUUCUGUGACUCGGGUCCUGAGUUCUCCGCCAGGUGCAGAUCUCACUUCCCGGGAGGACGGAAGAGGGAGGAUCGUCUAAUGAAAGUGAAAGUGUCUCCAACCCAACACAUCCAUAGAGGAACUCCGCCACGCCAUGAUCAGCGCGCACCGACUCACCUGAAAUACGACUCUAUCAGAGAGCAGGGCCAAUCAGGAGGAUUCAAUCGUUCCCGGGGAAAUCUCCACCAUGUCCAG